Long non-coding RNA from Pelmatolapia mariae (spotted tilapia), 285 nucleotides. RefSeq lists it as uncharacterized. The transcript is spliced from 4 exons. NCBI's taxonomy places the organism in Eukaryota, Metazoa, Chordata, Actinopteri, Cichliformes, Cichlidae. The record is from RefSeq and is a predicted model, not a curated record.
CCUCCUCCCUCCCGGAUCAGUCCGCAUGUUCAUGGCGCCAGCAUUUGUUAUGGAAUAUAUUGAGCAAACCUGGAGAUAUUAUUGUUGUCAUUGCUGUGGAUCUUUACUGACUUGGCUCGGGACCAGCACUCCUGUUGUUGGACAGAAAGACAUCAACUCAGUGACUUGAGAUAUGACUGCACUAUGCUGUUGCUGGUGACUCCAGUUAAUUCUACAAGACAUGCUGUGACACCAGGAGAGAUGAGUCCUCCAUCACAGAUGGUGUGGUCAGUGAAGAUGGUCGCC